This 731-nucleotide ribosomal RNA is filed under the name Staphylococcus hominis. RNAcentral describes it as "bacterial SSU rRNA". It matches the Rfam family "Bacterial small subunit ribosomal RNA", at positions 22 to 736 of the family's 1533-position model. RNAcentral also lists the same sequence under 1 other name. The record is from RNAcentral. Lineage: Bacteria; Bacillati; Bacillota; Bacilli; Caryophanales; Staphylococcaceae.
GCUCAGGAUGAACGCUGGCGGCGUGCCUAAUACAUGCAAGUCGAGCGAACAGACGAGGAGCUUGCUCCUUUGACGUUAGCGGCGGACGGGUGAGUAACACGUGGGUAACCUACCUAUAAGACUGGGAUAACUUCGGGAAACCGGAGCUAAUACCGGAUAAUAUUUCGAACCGCAUGGUUCGAUAGUGAAAGAUGGCUUUGCUAUCACUUAUAGAUGGACCUGCGCCGUAUUAGCUAGUUGGUAAGGUAACGGCUUACCAAGGCAACGAUACGUAGCCGACCUGAGAGGGUGAUCGGCCACACUGGAACUGAGACACGGUCCAGACUCCUACGGGAGGCAGCAGUAGGGAAUCUUCCGCAAUGGGCGAAAGCCUGACGGAGCAACGCCGCGUGAGUGAUGAAGGUCUUCGGAUCGUAAAACUCUGUUAUUAGGGAAGAACAAACGUGUAAGUAACUGUGCACGUCUUGACGGUACCUAAUCAGAAAGCCACGGCUAACUACGUGCCAGCAGCCGCGGUAAUACGUAGGUGGCAAGCGUUAUCCGGAAUUAUUGGGCGUAAAGCGCGCGUAGGCGGUUUUUUAAGUCUGAUGUGAAAGCCCACGGCUCAACCGUGGAGGGUCAUUGGAAACUGGAAAACUUGAGUGCAGAAGAGGAAAGUGGAAUUCCAUGUGUAGCGGUGAAAUGCGCAGAGAUAUGGAGGAACACCAGUGGCGAAGGCGACUUUCGGUCUG